Tachyglossus aculeatus (Australian echidna) is the source of this 138-nucleotide small nucleolar RNA. The record is from RefSeq and is a predicted model, not a curated record. NCBI's taxonomy places the organism in Eukaryota, Metazoa, Chordata, Mammalia, Monotremata, Tachyglossidae.
CCCCUCUCAGGGUCGCACCUGGAGAGUUUCCAGUACUCUACCAGUCUUGAUUAUGGGAGGGAGAGCGAAGCAGAGGCAUAUCCAUUCCACUCCUAGUUUGGGCAGUGGCUAGUGAGUGGACGACAAUCUGCUACAAGU